This is a non-coding RNA of Phalacrocorax carbo (great cormorant), 695 nucleotides long. NCBI's taxonomy places the organism in Eukaryota, Metazoa, Chordata, Aves, Suliformes, Phalacrocoracidae. The record is from RefSeq and is a predicted model, not a curated record.
AUACGGUCUACUGAUGGUGACAACUCUGUUGCAGAGAGGAAUCAAACCAGGUUUCAAACAAGUGUUUGAGCAUUCACAGAAUGCGAGAUGUUGCUGAUGCACUGCAAAGUGUAGCAAGACUUAUCUGUGUUCUCAUAACUUACACAGCAUGCGUCACCACGCUAAGGCGUAAUCCAUUAAUGAGCAUCCUAGUUUACCAAACUUGUUGUUAAAUCUUCAGGGCUUACCUGUUCUGGCCUCUGCUUCUUUUUGUGGUCGUCCAAAGCCUAGUUCUGACAACAGAGGUUAAAAGGAGCAUUUUGGACUUGCGUGUUCAGGACUGAGCAGGGCGGAAGGGAAGCAGCCAUAAUGGAACUCAACAUUUCAUCCAGGUCUAAGUGACAGGGGGGCAAAGUGUGACUUGGGAGACUUGGCUUUUAACCCAGCUUGUCCUGGCUAUAAAACCUGGUUCCUAUAUUCUCAGGAGAGAAUCUUCAGAGAGAUUUAUGCUCUGUGAAACACAGAAAUACUGAUCCAAGCAUUCAGCUAUUCCAGGAUUUGAAUGAUCCUUUUUAUGUAUUGACAACUUUCUAACAAAGUCAGGUCUAUUUCUACGUUAAGGAUCUGACUGAAGUUCUGUCAAUUAGAUUGUCUUUCUCAGCACAUAAAGAGCCUGACUCUUAGAAUAUUACAAAUCAGGUUUCAGUUCUCAUAUG